Molecule: ribosomal RNA, 254 nt
Filed under: uncultured bacterium
Lineage: Bacteria
Description: partial 16S ribosomal RNA
Rfam family: Bacterial small subunit ribosomal RNA
Source: RNAcentral
UACGUAGGGGGGCUAGCGUUGUCCGGAUUUAUUGGGCGUAAAGAGCGUGUAGGCGGCCUGGUAGGUCUGCUGUGAAAACUCGAGGCUCAACCUCGAGAUGUCGGCGGAAACCAUCUGGCUAGAGUCCGGAAGAGGAGAGUGGAAUUCCUGGUGUAGCGGUGAAAUGCGCAGAUAUCAGGAGGAACACCGGUGGCGAAGGCGGGUCUCUGGGCCGAAAUUGACGCUGAGGAGCGAAAGCGUGGGGAGCAAACAGG